Long non-coding RNA from Thalassophryne amazonica, 148 nucleotides. RefSeq lists it as uncharacterized. NCBI's taxonomy places the organism in Eukaryota, Metazoa, Chordata, Actinopteri, Batrachoidiformes, Batrachoididae. The record is from RefSeq and is a predicted model, not a curated record. The transcript has 3 exons.
AUAAUAAAUAACUGCCUUUGUUCAUAAAAAACACCCCAAUAACUUGAAAAUAUAUCACAUGCAAUUACCAUGACAUUAAAGAGGAUUUAGUUCUAGCGGGAGCUGGAGGCACACAUGAUUAAUUUUUAAUUGUGUAAUUAAAUACGGA